UCCACACUCAUCAUUCCACUAAACACUCUUUACACCUUCUUUUGCCAGCCAUCUUCUACACUUUAACAUCUCAACAUGCAAUUAGCUUUUAUUUAAUCAAAAUCAGCAGCCAACAUUCCUCCCAUUCCUCCUAACAUUUUGAUCCAAGCUAUACGUUCUUAUGCUUGAAUUAUAAUUCACUGAUUCCAGCUUUCCAAAUCAGUUUCCAAGAUUUCCCAAAACAAGAAAGAGAUCCAAUUUUGGUGAAUUCAGAAAGAAGAUUUUCCUCAUUUCCUACUCAUAUCAAGGUCCGGGCGACAGAAAGUGAAGCAGAAGAAGAAACGACUCCACGCCAGCUUUAAGAACAAUUGAGGUUGAGCAGGCGAUGGAAUGGAUUGGUGUUGAGUGGAUUUCUCUUUUGAUGUUUAUGUAAUGAAACCUUGAGUAUGCAUCUCCAUAUGCAUAACUCACACGUUUUUCCGCUGCAAACACUCUGAAUUUGUUAUCGUAUUGUGGAACUUAUUACUUCUUCAUUUUGUUUAACUUUCAUUUGGGGUUUAGUCGUUAUGGCUGACUCAUUUGUUAAUUACCCAAGUGGUUAUAUAUAUAUAUACCACUAGUUUGUUGUUAUUAAUGUUGGUUAUUUAGUAAAUCCCUUUUAAAUUUCCAUUUCUUAUUGUUCACCCAAGUCAUAACCCCGGUUAACCCGUCAUUGGGAUAGUGGGCUGUGACAGAGUGGUAUCAGAGCAGUUCAUUUGCUCUGGCCCUAGAAACCUUAUUCUAAAAAGUCAUGUCUAGAUUGAUUCACUUGACAUAUGUGGGAUCAUACGACACCGCUCAACACUCCAUUGCAUCGUGCUCAAUC
This is a long non-coding RNA of Salvia miltiorrhiza (redroot sage), 844 nucleotides long. RefSeq lists it as uncharacterized. The record is from RefSeq and is a predicted model, not a curated record. The transcript is spliced from 4 exons. NCBI's taxonomy places the organism in Eukaryota, Viridiplantae, Streptophyta, Magnoliopsida, Lamiales, Lamiaceae.